RNAcentral lists this unclassified non-coding RNA (477 nucleotides) under Amphiglossa corrudifolia. Its description in RNAcentral is "partial contains external transcribed spacer and 18S ribosomal RNA". The stretch from base 424 to 477 matches the Rfam family "Eukaryotic small subunit ribosomal RNA", at positions 1 to 54 of the family's 1831-position model. The record is from RNAcentral. Lineage: Eukaryota; Viridiplantae; Streptophyta; Magnoliopsida; Asterales; Asteraceae.
AUGAGUGGUGUUUGGUUUGUUACGGGUGGUUGGCUCUUUGCUUGCGCAACAACUUCCACCUGGCAUGCCUCUUCAGUUUUGCGUCAAUGCUUGUAUUUGCAUUGAAUCCAUAGUGGGUUUCUUGUGUUGCAUACCAAAUUGAUGGUAUCGUUUGAUGAAUUGAUGUUCCUUUUCGUCUUGUGUCGCACAUGUGAUGUGAGAUGAACCUCGAGGCAUUCUUUGUGAUCCACUCUUUUGAUGCACAAACAUUGAUGGUGUGGCCCAUUAAGUGUUGCUUGGUCUCAUGGAUAUAGAACUUGGUGUGGGCAUGGGAUCGUAGUAUUCUUACUAGUUCCUUGUUUGCCCUGAUUUAGCUUCUCCAAUACGAUUUGACUAUCACBUGUGGCACGUCUCAGCGUGGUAGUCUAAUUUGAAGAUGAAUGCUACCUGGUUGAUCCUGCCAGUAGUCAUAUGCUUGUCUCAAAGAUUAAGCCAUGC